GGUUUCCCCUCUGGGUUUCAAGUUCUACUCAAGACAAAAGCAGGAAUGGCUCAAAAGUGUCAAGUUUGGUGUGGCGGUGGACCCCAAAAUGCAGACGACAGCAAGCAGCAGUGUGGCCUUUAUUUUGUCAGAUGACCAACAGGACAUGGAUUGGAGAGAGAGAGGGGAAGACAUGCAGCAAAGGUCAACGUGCCAGGACUCGAACCCGUGAACGCUGCGUUGAGGACUGUAGCCUCUGAAUAUUGAUUAUGCAGUUUUACCCCUGCACCACUGCCAUGCCCUAUACAGUUACAUUUUAUUAAGACAUGAAGUCUUAUUUUCAAAAGCAACCGUAAGGGCUGAAAUUUUGAAAACAUACUUUUAAUCUGACUUAUUGAAACGCAUAUUUUAGUUCACUGACUAUAACUGUAAGUGGUAAUACAUUUAGUAUUGUUAGUGUCUGGAAAAUGAACCCCAGCCCGUUUCAAGUCUUCUGCAGCCACUAGCACAUUUUCUUAAGGAUUGACCUGUAGCUCCAUCCAUCCUCCUACCAUCUCUGAUCUGGCCCCCUCCCUUCCCCUGCUGAAACAAAGUAUCCUCACAGCAUAAUGCCACCACCACCAUGUUUUACUAUGAGGAUGUUGUGUUCAGUUUCAUGCACAGUGCUAAGUUCCCAGGACACAUAGUAUCUCACAUGUAGGCUAAAAAGUGGUCAAAGGUCCUACGUUAAACUUCUCAACCUUCUCCCAGACCUGUCUGCUGUGUUCCUUGGCCAUCAUGUUGUUGUUUGGUUCUCUAAUGUUCCUUAAAAACCCUCUGGGAUUUUCACGGAGCAACUGGGAUUAUACUAGGAUUAAACAACAUACAAAGGCACGCUAUUUCCUAAUUAGGUGGUUCUGAAGACACUGCUUGCAGGAAUACCAGGUACAGACUUUGCCUCCAGUUUGAAAUCAGGCCUGUUGCUCAUUCUGUUAAUUCAUCUGGCUAAUCCACAGUAUAUUAAUGUUUUCUCUGGAAAAAAUUAUAAUGAAAUUACACUGAUUAACACAUACUGAUGCGAAAUGACAGAAAUACUGUGUAAACACGCUUAUUCAAAAUUAUUCCUGUUUAUGAUUAAAGUCAGUGUGUUUUAAACUGAAUA
Long non-coding RNA from Girardinichthys multiradiatus, 1120 nucleotides. RefSeq lists it as uncharacterized. NCBI's taxonomy places the organism in Eukaryota, Metazoa, Chordata, Actinopteri, Cyprinodontiformes, Goodeidae. The record is from RefSeq and is a predicted model, not a curated record. The transcript is spliced from 3 exons.